Molecule: unclassified non-coding RNA, 239 nt
Filed under: fungal sp.
Lineage: Eukaryota; Fungi
Also listed under: 1 other name
Description: partial internal transcribed spacer region
Rfam family: Eukaryotic small subunit ribosomal RNA (bases 1-46)
Source: RNAcentral
AAGUCGUAACAAGGUUUCCGUAGGUGAACCUGCGGAAGGAUCAUUACUGCUUGCUUACGGUCUCGCUCGGGCAACCGAGCGGGGCCGGGCACGCUACCCUUGCCUAUGCAUACCUGUUGUUACUCCCUCGGCGGGGAAACCCGCCGCUGGGGACACGUAAACUCUCUUGUAUAAAGCAUCAAACCUUCUGAACAAAAAUUAAAUAAUCACAACUUUCAACAAUGGAUCUCUUGGUUCUG